This 1500-nucleotide long non-coding RNA is filed under the name Homo sapiens (human). Its description in RNAcentral is "HSALNT0371024". Lineage: Eukaryota; Metazoa; Chordata; Mammalia; Primates; Hominidae. The record is from RNAcentral.
GACUUUUGGAGGGCCGAGUUGCAGGCGGCGGGCGCAUCCCGGAGAUGGCGGGGCAGGGAGGGAGGGAAGGAGGAGGGGGCGGGGAGGGAGGUGCAGAUUUGCACGGCUGGCCUCAGCGGGAGGCGCGGAAAUGCAAGCCGAGCAUGCUGGCGUGAAAGCCCCCGGGGCCUGGCACCCCCAAAAACGACCCCCCACCUCCGUUCCUGCCCUCAUUGCCCAGGGCUACCCCUCUUCCUCUUCUUUCAUCCACCCCUCCCCCAACAUUACCUGUGUGGCCGACUCAAAUUCAAAGCAUUUUGUAUAUAUAACUGUUUUCUUUUUUUGCUUUUCUGCUGCAUGUCUUUUUCGUGGGGGGUGAUCCUCUGCAGAUCCCCCCAUUUGCGGACCCGCCAUGUGGAGGAGGCAUUUGGGGGGCUCAGAAGGAAAUUAGCUCGGCUUCCAUACCUAUAAGGACUGCCUAACUUUUAAACUCCCGGCACUCAAAGAUGUGGACACACACACGUACAGGAAAUACAGCCAGACCAGAGCCUUUGCAGUCCGCAGCUGACCGGAAGACGUUGCCUUUCAUUCAUUCAUUCUGCCCGCCUCUGUGGACUCCUUUACUAGGCGACCAGCCCUGAAACAGAAGUUGGACAUUUUUUAAAGGUUCUUGCGCUCGGCAAGGGGAGCAGAUAGAUGCUCAGGAGCGAAAGACGCAGAGAAUUGGAUCUGGCGCCUCCUAACGCAGCCCGCACAGGAGCGAAGGGAUGGAGUGCAGUGGUGCGACCUUGGCUCACUGCAACCUCUGCCUUGCCUCCGGAGUUCAAGCGAUCCUCCUGCCUCGGCCUCCCAAGUAGCUGGGAUUACAGGCACCCACCGCCACACCCAGAGAGUGUGACGAUCCCCCUGAUGCGGCUGAGAUGUUCUGAAAUGAAGACGUUGGCUCUCAUCCCCAGCCUGAAGAGAGAAAAUUCUGAGAUGGCUCCCUUACAGAUUGAGAGCAGAUACGGGGUUUCACCGUGCUAGCCAGGAUGAUCUCGAUCUACUGACCUCGUGAUCCGCCCGCCUCGGCCUCCCAAAGUGCUGGGAUUAUAGGCGUGAGCCACCGCGCCCGGCGGCUGUGGCUAAUUAUUAGGUAACUAGCGUCGUUGGGUCUCCCUACCUGAAGGCCUAAAGGCUGGAGAUAAGAGGGCUGAAGGGGAGUAGAGCCAGGACUGGUGGGCCUGGGAGCCACCAAUAGUCCCAGAAGAUCCUACGGGGACUUUGCCUUCUGCUCCUGAUCUCUGGAAUCGAUUCAUCAGCCUGAGCUUCGACUCCAGCCUCUGCAUCCGCUUCUCCCAAGGCACUGGGUAGGAACACAGCCAAGAACGAUUGCAGGAUGGGUCCUUCCAGGACACUGACGUCUCAGCUUGCGCACUGUGAGUCCCUGGACGAGUUACUCCACCUCUCUGAACCUCCUCCUCACUUGCAUAAUGGGAAAAAUAAUGGACAUAGGAAGAUGAAACAAGACCUUGGAGACCA